CUAAAACCCCUCUCCGCUAUCAAACACUCUCAAACCUAACCCUAACGAACCUUUCUAACACUCAUCUAUGGUUAUAUCCGAUGAUUUCUCACGACCCCCAGGCCUCUGAUGGCUUCCUUCACGUAAGUCUUGCCAUUUCCAGGGUACCAGAGCUAGUUGGAUUGCAACUAUGGUCACAUUCUCACCUGUUUUAGUCCAUUCCAGUGUGAUUCCGAGUAAUAUCGUCCUAUAUUGACUAUGAUCUAUGAUUUCUAAGUAUGUUUCUUCACCUUUGUGUUGUCCUCUUCAAAACCCUAAUUUUUUUUUCUGUGCCUCUUAGCUCUGUAUAAAUCUGAGAGGAUUUAGACAUGUUUCAUGUGUGUUUUGCGACAACCUUGAGGUUCUUUACAAGAAUCGUAUGAUUUUCAAGUGAUUUUCAUCAAUUUAUAAACUAGCGUUUCCGGAACUUCUUUUACAAAAUGUUUGAUGACUUUUUGUGUUUAAUCUUCUUCUUCUCAUAUGUUUUGACUAAUUUUAUAAGUCUUCUACAACCUUAUCUCGCUUGUACUGAAAGCCCUAAUAUUUUGGGGGUUCUUCAUUUGGUUUCUAAGUACUGGUACAUCUGAUUGUGUUGUUGCUUUAGGUUCUUGUGAUUUAUUGUCAUUUUAUUGUCCUAAUAUGAUUCUACUAAAUUUUUUAGUACAACCCUUUCACUGAUUCUACAUGCUUGUGUUCAUCCUGGCUAUUCAUGUUAAGACAUGUAUCUUUCUCUCUUGAAUCAAUGUCAUUUUAACUAUUUGUUUUGUUAAAGUUAUGUGUCGUGCCUUAUUUUAUAUGCCAAACAUGCUGACUAUUUCAUGAAUUUCUCUUUAAUUGAACCUUUGAUUCUUGUGAAUUCCUUUUUUUUUUGGUUUGAUUUGGACACUUUCCCUUAAACUUUCGAUUCAUACCUCUAUACUUGAUUUGAUUUAAUUGCUUGCCUUAAUUAAUUUUUUUCUUGCCUUGUCUGUAUUUUGCUAAUUCUUAUUGAUUGUUUCCUUAAUUGAAACUUUUGUUCAUUUACUCCCAAUUACCUGCUCUAUACCCAAACCUUAUUUGGUUCUUUUCCUUAAAUACCUAGCAAGCUUUUGCCAUUGAUUUGAUUAUCCUUUGAUUAAGGGAAUGACUUGGUGACUAAUUCUACAAACUUCCCUGAUUUGCUACUUAAUUGAUCUCCUACCUUAUUUUUGAAGCUUUUGAUUACCAUAUAAACCCCCUCUUAUUUUAACUUAAGACAACGACAAAGUUAAAAAAUCAUUACUCCUUACAUUCUAAUGUUCGCUUUCUCUUCUUCUACUUGUGAUACUCACUGAUCUAGCAGGCUGAAACCAAGGCCGGAUAUUGGAAUUUUAUUAGCUUUAUACUCUGCACCUUUUUCUGCAACUG
Molecule: long non-coding RNA, 1404 nt
Filed under: Nicotiana benthamiana
Lineage: Eukaryota; Viridiplantae; Streptophyta; Magnoliopsida; Solanales; Solanaceae
Description: long non-coding RNA (NBEN_LNC014263)
Source: RNAcentral